Molecule: small nucleolar RNA, 143 nt
Organism: Mastomys coucha (southern multimammate mouse)
Lineage: Eukaryota; Metazoa; Chordata; Mammalia; Rodentia; Muridae
Product: small nucleolar RNA SNORA48
Exons: 1
Source: RefSeq, a predicted model, not a curated record
UUCCCCUAACAAUGGGCAAAGAAACACCUUGUUGGUGGUGGUGUUCUUAUAGCAGUCAGGGGUACAGCAAGUGGCAGUCCUCUGUUCAUCCUAGCUUGAUACCUGAUUUGAGGUCAAAGCUCUUUUGUACCUAGGACAUAUAG